AAGCUGUGGAAGCACAUUUCUUGUGUGACCGCGUACUUUUUGUAGAACGGGCCAACGAGUUACGUUAAGUAGCAAGGUUAAGCACUUAAGGUGCGGAGCCGUAGCGAAAGCGAGUUUUAACUGAGCGUUCAGUUACUUGACGUAGACCCGAAACCGGGCGACCUACCCAGGAGCAGGAUGAAGCGAAAGUAAAAUUUCGUGGAGGUCCGAACCCACGAGCGUUGAAAAGCUCGGGGAUGACUUGUGGGUAGCGGUGAAAUUCCAAUCGAGCCCGGAGAUAGCUGGUUCUCCCCGAAAUAGCUUUAGGGCUAGCCUCAAGGUGAGAGAUACGGAGGUAGAGCACUGAAUGUCCUAGGGGGUAUUGCACCUACCGAAGACUAUCAAACUCCGAAUGCCGUCAUCUUAUACUUGGGAGUCAGACUGUGGGUGAUAAGAUUCAUAGUCGAAAGGGCAACAGCCCAGAUCGUCAGCUAAGGUCCCUAAAUGUAAGUUAAGUGGUAAAGGAUGUGGGAUUGCACAGACAACCAGGAUGUUGGCUUAGAAGCAGCCACUCAUUCAAAGAGUGCGUAAUAGCUCACUGGUCGAGUGAUCCUGCGCCGAAGAUUUCCGGGGCUAAAACUUACUACCGAAGCUACGGCAUCAGUAAUGAUGGGUAGGGGAGCUUCCCAUACGGGUUGAAGCAUGACCGUAAGGACAUGUGGACAGUAUGGGAGUGAGAAUGUUGGCAUGAGUAGCGAGAUGUGGGUG
Molecule: ribosomal RNA, 747 nt
Filed under: Clostridioides difficile
Lineage: Bacteria; Bacillati; Bacillota; Clostridia; Peptostreptococcales; Peptostreptococcaceae
Description: bacterial LSU rRNA
Rfam family: Bacterial large subunit ribosomal RNA
Source: RNAcentral